RNAcentral lists this ribosomal RNA (2367 nucleotides) under Salmonella enterica subsp. enterica serovar Typhimurium. RNAcentral describes it as "bacterial LSU rRNA". It matches the Rfam family "Bacterial large subunit ribosomal RNA", at positions 670 to 2925 of the family's 2925-position model. The record is from RNAcentral. Lineage: Bacteria; Pseudomonadati; Pseudomonadota; Gammaproteobacteria; Enterobacterales; Enterobacteriaceae.
AGGGAAACCGAGUCUUAACCGGGCGUUAAGUUGCAGGGUAUAGACCCGAAACCCGGUGAUCUAGCCAUGGGCAGGUUGAAGGUUGGGUAACACUAACUGGAGGACCGAACCGACUAAUGUUGAAAAAUUAGCGGAUGACCUGUGGCUGGGGGUGAAAGGCCAAUCAAACCGGGAGAUAGCUGGUUCUCCCCGAAAGCUAUUUAGGUAGCGCCUCGUGAAUUCAUCUCCGGGGGUAGAGCACUGUUUCGGCUAGGGGGCCAUCCCGGCUUACCAACCCGAUGCAAACUGCGAAUACCGGAGAAUGUUAUCACGGGAGACACACGGCGGGUGCUAACGUCCGUCGUGAAGAGGGAAACAACCCAGACCGCCAGCUAAGGUCCCAAAGUCAUGGUUAAGUGGGAAACGAUGUGGGAAGGCCCAGACAGCCAGGAUGUUGGCUUAGAAGCAGCCAUCAUUUAAAGAAAGCGUAAUAGCUCACUGGUCGAGUCGGCCUGCGCGGAAGAUGUAACGGGGCUAAACCAUGCACCGAAGCUGCGGCAGCGAACGUAUCACCCAAGACAACUUUACGGAGUUGACGAUUGACGGAGCGAAGCGACGUCAAAGCGUUCAUUAAAGUCGAGUUGGCUUAGGGAUACGUUCGUUGGGUAGGGGAGCGUUCUGUAAGCCUGUGAAGGUGUGUCGUGAGGCAUGCUGGAGGUAUCAGAAGUGCGAAUGCUGACAUAAGUAACGAUAAAGCGGGUGAAAAGCCCGCUCGCCGGAAGACCAAGGGUUCCUGUCCAACGUUAAUCGGGGCAGGGUGAGUCGACCCCUAAGGCGAGGCCGAAAGGCGUAGUCGAUGGGAAACGGGUUAAUAUUCCCGUACUUGGUGUUACUGCGAAGGGGGGACGGAGAAGGCUAUGUUGGCCGGGCGACGGUUGUCCCGGUUUAAGCGUGUAGGUGUGUGUUCCAGGUAAAUCCGGUUCACUUUAACACUGAGGCGUGACGACGAGGCACUACGGUGCUGAAGCAACAAAUGCCCUGCUUCCAGGAAAAGCCUCUAAGCAUCAGGUAACACGAAAUCGUACCCCAAACCGACACAGGUGGUCAGGUAGAGAAUACCAAGGCGCUUGAGAGAACUCGGGUGAAGGAACUAGGCAAAAUGGUGCCGUAACUUCGGGAGAAGGCACGCUGACACGUAGGUGAAGUGAUUUACUCAUGGAGCUGAAGUCAGUCGAAGAUACCAGCUGGCUGCAACUGUUUAUUAAAAACACAGCACUGUGCAAACACGAAAGUGGACGUAUACGGUGUGACGCCUGCCCGGUGCCGGAAGGUUAAUUGAUGGGGUCAGCGCAAGCGAAGCUCCUGAUCGAAGCCCCGGUAAACGGCGGCCGUAACUAUAACGGUCCUAAGGUAGCGAAAUUCCUUGUCGGGUAAGUUCCGACCUGCACGAAUGGCGUAAUGAUGGCCAGGCUGUCUCCACCCGAGACUCAGUGAAAUUGAACUCGCUGUGAAGAUGCAGUGUACCCGCGGCAAGACGGAAAGACCCCGUGAACCUUUACUAUAGCUUGACACUGAACAUUGAGCCUUGAUGUGUAGGAUAGGUGGGAGGCUUUGAAGUGUGGACGCCAGUCUGCAUGGAGCCGACCUUGAAAUACCACCCUUUAAUGUUUGAUGUUCUAACGUGGACCCGUAAUCCGGGUUGCGGACAGUGUCUGGUGGGUAGUUUGACUGGGGCGGUCUCCUCCUAAAGAGUAACGGAGGAGCACGAAGGUUGGCUAAUCCUGGUCGGACAUCAGGAGGUUAGUGCAAUGGCAUAAGCCAGCUUGACUGCGAGCGUGACGGCGCGAGCAGGUGCGAAAGCAGGUCAUAGUGAUCCGGUGGUUCUGAAUGGAAGGGCCAUCGCUCAACGGAUAAAAGGUACUCCGGGGAUAACAGGCUGAUACCGCCCAAGAGUUCAUAUCGACGGCGGUGUUUGGCACCUCGAUGUCGGCUCAUCACAUCCUGGGGCUGAAGUAGGUCCCAAGGGUAUGGCUGUUCGCCAUUUAAAGUGGUACGCGAGCUGGGUUUAGAACGUCGUGAGACAGUUCGGUCCCUAUCUGCCGUGGGCGCUGGAGAACUGAGGGGGGCUGCUCCUAGUACGAGAGGACCGGAGUGGACGCAUCACUGGUGUUCGGGUUGUCAUGCCAAUGGCACUGCCCGGUAGCUAAAUGCGGAAGAGAUAAGUGCUGAAAGCAUCUAAGCACGAAACUUGCCCCGAGAUGAGUUCUCCCUGAGACUUAGAGUCUCCUGAAGGAACGUUGAAGACGACGACGUUGAUAGGCCGGGUGUGUAAGCGCAGCGAUGCGUUGAGCUAACCGGUACUAAUGAACCGUGAGGCUUAACCUUACA